RNAcentral lists this ribosomal RNA (405 nucleotides) under uncultured bacterium. RNAcentral describes it as "bacterial SSU rRNA". It matches the Rfam family "Bacterial small subunit ribosomal RNA", at positions 355 to 776 of the family's 1533-position model. The record is from RNAcentral.
UAGGGAAUUUUCCACAAUGGACGAAAGUCUGAUGGAGCAACGCCGCGUGCAGGAUGAAGGCCUUCGGGUUGUAAACUGCUUUUAUCUGUGACGAUUAUGACGGUAGCAGAUGAAUAAGGAUCGGCUAACUCCGUGCCAGCAGCCGCGGUCAUACGGAGGAUCCAAGCGUUAUCCGGAAUUACUGGGCGUAAAGAGUUGCGUAGGCGGCAUAGUAAGCAGAGUGUGAAAUCGUAUGGCUCAACCAUAUACACAUGCUCUGAACUGCUAAGCUAGAGAAUGGAAGAGGUCGCUAGAAUUCCUGGUGUAGGGGUGAAAUCCGUAGAUAUCAGGAGGAAUACCGAUGGCGUAGGCAGGCGACUGGUCCAUUUCUGACGCUCAGGCACGAAAGCGUGGGGAGCGAUCGGG